Molecule: long non-coding RNA, 1704 nt
Filed under: Serinus canaria (Common canary)
Lineage: Eukaryota; Metazoa; Chordata; Aves; Passeriformes; Fringillidae
Description: lncRNA (ENSSCAG00000001562.1)
Source: RNAcentral
AUGGUGUGGGAAAAGUUUUUACUCUUAUGUUAUGGAUGUAUGAUUUUGUCUCAAGCAACUGAAAAUCAGAGUACUGAACCAAAUUUAGCUUGGGAGUUGAUACAAGGAUUUAUGCAUAUUUGGAAUCAUACAAAUCAAGGAAUAUGUAUUAAUCUCCCCAACUCUGCAUCAGAGGGGUUUAGAUUUAUGAUGAUUUGGUUAAAUUUUUCGGAAAUAUUAACGAGAGAACUGGAUAAUCUUAAAAAGCCAGGAAGAAAUGUUACCUGGGGGAUGGUGGAGUCCCGGUUCCUAGACCAGAAAGAAGGACAACAGUGGGAGGCAAAUGGGACAUGGGUAGAAUACAAGAAUGCCUUUUACCAGCUCCCACGUGACUCUACCUGGAGCGAAUUAUGGAAUCAGACAUGCUAUCGGUCAUUAGACACCAAGCCUUCUGAGACAUUGCAAAAUGUCACUUCUAUCCCUUGCACGGUAGUACCGUGGUGGGAUUCUCCUGCUGAGGGUGGGUUUUUUGAACAUGAGUACAAUUUUCGUUGGGAUGCAGGAUGGUGUAUACAAAUCCCUGAUAACCCAGGAACCGUGCACCAAGUUAACCGAACAAAUUAUGAGUGGGCCUGGUCUUUGAAACAAAUCUUUGACCCUAUAUCUACACUACAAUGGGCUUCCAGGGUCCCCACAGGGAAAAUAGUAGAAUGGGAAGUGGAGAAAUCAGACUGUAAGGACUAUCAGACCACACUACCUAAUGGAGAGAGCAUCUGCUGGAAAGUGAGGAACCGUAGAAGUCUUACCCAGAGUAAAUCAGAGACCUCCUUUCUGAAUUGUUCCCGUGUAUUAGAUUGUACCACAGGAGCAGGUGAGCCUAUAGAAACCUGGUACAUCUCGGAGCUGAGAACUUUUAUCCGGGACAUGUGUACCUGUUGGGAUUAUCCCAACUACGGCUAUCUAAACCAAGACACCCGAUGCAAUGGGUCUUAUGAAAAUUCAGAGACAGCACUAUCCUGUGGCAUUCCCAUUACACACAGCCCUGACCAAAGAAAGGUCUGGAAUUCAAGUAGCGAAGCACAGGAAGUUCCCCAAGGUGACCUGUAUCAGUGUUCACAGGCCAAGUAUCCCGCUCCACGGGGAACAGUAUGGGCAUGUUCAGAUGGGAAAAUGUAUUCCCACUUGAACAUGUAUGAUAUGGCUGGACUCCAGUGUACUAUUGGUUUUCCUACCAUGUGUCCAUCUAAAACAUUCAAUUAUACGCUUUAUCGUAACAACAAGGUGCAGAGAGAGAUCCGCAAUCCAACAGAGGCAAAAGGGUGGAUUCAGGGGAUUCAAGUGCCCGACUAUUACACCUGGGGACAAAACGUUGCUUUAGACUUAGAAUCAUUUUUUGCGUCCAGUGGAGUUAUCCAACAGCACAAGUAUGUCUUGGAGAACUUAACUAAGCAAGUCCACGUGUUAAGCAACUGGACCGGACGCUCACUCAGGGAACCGAAUGUGCAGGCCCUGCAGGCAUCGGAAAUGGCUUUGCAGAACCGAUUAGCCAUAGAUAUGUUGUUGUUGAAAGAGAAUGGAGUGUGUGGGAUGCUAAACCUCACAGAUGGAGAAUGCUGUGUCACUGUCCAUAACGCCACCACCACCAUAGAAGAGGCACGUCAGAAGAUGAAGGAGAUUGCUGAGCAAACGGGAGAACUGUUUCAAGCAAUGCAACCGAAGGACUAG